GUCGANCGGGAAUCUUCGGAUUCUAGUGGCGGACGGGUGAGUAACGCGUAAGAAUCUAACUUCAGGACGGGGACAACAGUUGGAAACGACUGCUAAUACCCGAUAUGCCGCAAGGUGAAACCUAAUUGGCCUGGAGAAGAGCUUGCGUCUGAUUAGCUAGUUGGUGGGGUAAGAGCCUACCAAGGCGACGAUCAGUAGCUGGUCUGAGAGGAUGAGCAGCCACACUGGGACUGAGACACGGCCCAGACUCCUACGGGAGGCAGCAGUGGGGAAUUUUCCGCAAUGGGCGAAAGCCUGACGGAGCAACGCCGCGUGAGGGAGGAAGGUCUUUGGAUUGUAAACCUCUUUUCUCAAGGAAGAAGUUCUGACGGUACUUGAGGAAUCAGCCUCGGCUAACUCCGUGCCAGCAGCCGCGGUAAUACGGGGGAGGCAAGCGUUAUCCGGAAUUAUUGGGCGUAAAGCGUCCGCAGGUGGUCAGCCAAGUCUGCCGUCAAAUCAGGUUGCUUAACGACCUAAAGGCGGUGGAAACUGGCAGACUAGAGAGCAGUAGGGGUAGCAGGAAUUCCCAGUGUAGCGGUGAAAUGCGUAGAGAUGGGGAAGAACAUCGGUGGCGAAAGCGUGCUACUGGGCUGUAUCUGACACUCAGGGACGAAAGCUAGGGGAGCGAAAGGGAUUAGAUACCCCUGUAGUCCUAGCCGUAAACGAUGGAUACUAGGCGUGGCUUGUAUCGACCCGAGCCGUGCCGAAGCUAACGCGUUAAGUAUCCCGCCUGGGGAGUACGCACGCAAGUGUGAAACUCAAAGGAAUUGACGGGGGCCCGCACAAGCGGUGGAGUAUGUGGUUUAAUUCGAUGCAACGCAAAGAACCUUACCAAGACUUGACAUGUCGCGAACCCNGGNGAAAGCUGGGGGUGCCUUCGGGAGCGCGAACACAGGUGGUGCAUGGNUGUCGUCAGCUCGUGUCGUGAGAUGUUNG
RNAcentral lists this ribosomal RNA (975 nucleotides) under uncultured bacterium. Its description in RNAcentral is "bacterial SSU rRNA". It matches the Rfam family "Bacterial small subunit ribosomal RNA", at positions 61 to 1078 of the family's 1533-position model. The record is from RNAcentral.